AUUGAACGCUGGCGGAAUGCUUUACACAUGCAAGUCGAGCGCCCCGCAAGGGGAGCGGCAGACGGGUGAGUAACGCGUGGGAAUCUACCCAUCUCUACGGAAUAACGCAUGGAAACGUGUGCUAAUACCGUAUACGUCCUUCGGGAGAAAGAUUUAUCGGAGAUGGAUGAGCCCGCGUUGGAUUAGCUAGUUGGUGGGGUAAAGGCCUACCAAGGCGACGAUCCAUAGCUGGUCUGAGAGGAUGAUCAGCCACACUGGGACUGAGACACGGCCCAGACUCCUACGGGAGGCAGCAGUGGGGAAUAUUGGACAAUGGGCGCAAGCCUGAUCCAGCCAUGCCGCGUGAGUGAUGAAGGCCCUAGGGUUGUAAAGCUCUUUCACCGGUGAAGAUAAUGACGGUAACCGGAGAAGAAGCCCCGGCUAACUUCGUGCCAGCCGCCGCCGUAA
This 447-nucleotide ribosomal RNA is filed under the name uncultured bacterium. RNAcentral describes it as "partial 16S ribosomal RNA". It matches the Rfam family "Bacterial small subunit ribosomal RNA", at positions 30 to 523 of the family's 1533-position model. The record is from RNAcentral.